Molecule: small nuclear RNA, 110 nt
Organism: Grammomys surdaster
Lineage: Eukaryota; Metazoa; Chordata; Mammalia; Rodentia; Muridae
Source: RefSeq, a predicted model, not a curated record
AUGCUUACUUCUUAGGGAGCACAUAUACUAAACUUUGGACAAUACAGAGAAGAUUAGCAUGGUCCCUGUGCAAGGAUGACACGCAAAUUUGUGAAGCGUUCCAUAUCUUU